Molecule: long non-coding RNA, 2096 nt
Organism: Bos taurus (domestic cattle)
Lineage: Eukaryota; Metazoa; Chordata; Mammalia; Artiodactyla; Bovidae
Source: Ensembl
CUCUGCCCUUGCUCUUUUUUUGCCCUUGUUUAAAUUCCCAGUGUUUGCAUAUGGUUUAUAUUACUAAAGAAUUAAAGCUUUGCGCUCGAAAGAUGGAAAGAAAAAUUCACAAGUAAAACAUAGGUCAGAUAUGUUAUGAAUGGCCAUUUAAUGUAUAUACAAAAGCCAGUAUAUUUGGAUUAGGUGAGCAAGUUCUUAGUGUCCUGAUUUCCACUGAUAUCUGCCUGUGUGCAAAUGGAGUAUAUUAUUUGCUACAUGUUUACCAUGGUAUAAUGUGCAAAUUUUAGUAUGUGUGUUAUCCUGGUGAUUGGACACUCUGAUAUCCAUAUCAGGAACAGAGCUUGCACAUCUAUCAUGGAAUUUUUUUAAAUUAUUUUCACAAAGGUUGCAUUUCCCUAAGUAGCACUUUUGAAACCAGGGGUGGAAGAAAACUGCUAUUCCCUGAUCCCUCUCCUAUAUGAUAUACAUCUGCCUGAAGUUGUAUAAAGACAUUUAGGUAGCUAAUGGGCAUGUUAAUAUGAACGUUCUCAUGCAAGAGUCAUUUUCAGAAUGAAAAUAUUUUUCCUUCCCCAAAGUGAGAAUAGCAGAAAUAUUGGAGACCUGAGCACCAUAGUUACAUAGACUAUUUCCCUGCUAAGGUCUAGUUUGAAGGAACAAACUUGAAAACAAACCCAUGAGGUUGAGCCUCGUUGCUAUAAAGACUUUGUGGUGGUAUGUGUUUUGGGGAUGCGCUGUGGAAGGUUUAGUUGACUUCUAGAGCUGGAGAGUCUUACUCUUUCAAAAUGGACAUAAGCUGGUGCGUAUGGUGCUUUGCAGGGCAGCCGAGAGUAAGGAUCCAAGACGCUACAGCCCCGUGGCCUUUACAAACACUCGCACAAUUUCUAAAGGGGAAGUUACUGUGGCCUUGGUUUCCCAGUUCCUCCUGGGUCUGGUCAAAUCCCAGGUGACAGAAACUGAAGCCGAGUUAAGGGUCGUAUCUGCUCUGUAGUGUGGAGGCCAGCACCGGGCUAGCAGCCUGGAGGGAGUGAGCCCACCGAAUACGCAGAGCCCAGAGUCACUGUCCAUGUUUCUAGAGAACAAUGUGAAGAGUCCUAGAAAAGGAACUCACCAGACUGUCAGGGGCCGAUGUAGCCAAAAUGUCACUGAAUAGAAAAAAAAUCUUGUCUUCAGUCCUCAUGCUUUGUCACUGUAAAGCGAACGAAAAGCAUUUUUACUAUAAUUUAAAGGAGCUGCUUUUUUUUAUAGCACAUACUAUUUCGCUUUGUACUCUCUUUGAUAGUUGCAGAAUAAUUUAGACUGUAGAAAAAACUUUGUUGUAUUUGUACUGUUCAUGAAUGUUUCAAAGAAAGUGCUUUACUUGGUUGCCAUAAUUUUUCUUGUACUGCUGUAUUUUUCCCCCUGGCUUCAUGGAAACCUAAUCUGACUCAUAUUUUCAGUAUACUUUUUUAAUGUGUGUGUGUGUAUUUUUUUUCCCUUUUUUCCCCUUUGGUCAGUAUUCUGAAUGUUUACAUCUGUUUGACAUUAGCCAUUUAAUGCCUUUUUUAAAAGGCGGUAUUACUCUUACAGUGUAACAGCAAAAUGUGAAUCAACCCAAACAUAACAUGCAUGACAAAUACAGAUUUGGGGGCAAAGGCCCGGAACGUACACAGACAUUUUAUAUCAGCAUACAGCAAAGUCCAACCCUCCUUCAGCCCUCUACCAAAGAAUAUAUUAUUCCCACAGGAAAAACUCAGAAAAGGUGUGUAAAAUCCUCAGAAGGGGGAGCAGUUGAAUCAGUAAGACUGCUACAAUUUAAUACUGUUAUGCUUGCUUUGAUACCUGACUAAAUGUGACGGAGUGCAACAAGCAUUGAAACAAUUUUUAGGCAGUGUUUUGUUUAGAAUUCAGGGAUCAUGCAUUCUUUAAUGGUGCUGUUUGUUUUUUAUUUCUUUUCUACAAAGAAAAAAGUGUUGCCUAAAAAAGUGACUGCUCACGAUACCAUAAGUUAAAUGAAAUGUUUGUCUUUUCAUGUUUCUGUUUUUCCCUUUCUCUAAAGUAAUGAUUUGGGUUUCAAUAUUAAAAUAUUCUGGGAGAAAAUAAAGAAAUUCAACCUUAAA